This 641-nucleotide long non-coding RNA is filed under the name Ananas comosus (pineapple). RNAcentral's name for it is "long non-coding RNA (ACOM_LNC025810)". Lineage: Eukaryota; Viridiplantae; Streptophyta; Magnoliopsida; Poales; Bromeliaceae. The record is from RNAcentral.
AAGAAAAUGAUAGCUACUUGUGUUAGGAUUUCCAUAGUUGUGGCCUAAAUAAUCAUAUUUAAUUUUGAAUUUACUAUUGAUAAAGGUCAAUUCUAAAAGAUAUAGAACUACUUGAUAUGGUAUUUCUUAUAACUUUCCCAUCUAUUUAAAUUAAAUAGAAUUAUAAUCAAACUUUGAUGGAAAGUCAAUUUGAACUCUAUAUAUGAAGGGAUAUUGGUCUUGCCACUUUUUCAUGUGCAAUUUGGUGAAACAUUAUCAUCGAUUCUACACUAUAUAGGAGGGUGCCUGAGAAAGAAGGAGAAACCAAAUUACCCAAGUUUGGUUGUUGACGUUCAGAUUAUAACCAAAUUUCUCGUUUCCGCAGAUUGAUCAAGAAUUUCUUCUUUAUGGCACUCUGUGAGUUAUUAUGAUUUUGUUUAUGAUCGUGAAUUUUGAUAUGUAUUUACUUUUAGGGCAUAUUUGGUUGCUCGAAAGUCGGCGAAGUGGAAAAAGUCACUUUUAUAAAAGUUACUUUUACAAAAGUGACUUUUCAGUUCGAUUGUUUGGUUGCUGUAAAGUAAAAAAAUUAAAACUAUAAUUUUAUAAUUUUUUAUUAUUAAAUUAUAUACUAAGAGGUGAAAAUAUAAAUAAACGACUUAUAC